UACGGAGGAUCCGAGCGUUAUCCGGAUUUAUUGGGUUUAAAGGGUGCGCAGGCGGGAGAUUAAGUCGGCGGUGAAAUUUUGCAGCUCAACUGUAAAAGUGCCUUCGAAACUGGUUUCCUUGAGUGUAGAUGAAGUAGGCGGAAUUUGUGGUGUAGCGGUAAAAUGCUUAGAUAUCACGAGGAACUCCGAUUGCGCAGGCAGCUUACUAAACUACUACUGACGCUCAGGCACGAAGGCGUGGGGAUCAAACAGGAUUAGAUACCCUGGUAGUCCCU
Molecule: ribosomal RNA, 275 nt
Filed under: uncultured prokaryote
Description: partial 16S ribosomal RNA
Rfam family: Bacterial small subunit ribosomal RNA
Source: RNAcentral